AUGGGAACCUUUCGAUAUCUCCGAGACCGUGUUUGGGAGAAGGUGAAGGGGUGGAUGCAAAAACUCUUGUCUUAUGCGAGGAAGGAGAUCUUGAUUAAAGCAGUGGCACAGGCGCUCCCGGUCUUCUCCAUGGCAUGUUUCAGGUUACCGAGAGGACUUUGUGAGAAUAUCACGAAGAUUAUCCGGCAGUUUUGGUGGGGCAGUAAGGCGGGGAAGCGCAAGCCCAGCUGGGUGGCUUGGGACGACAUGGCCAGACCAAAACACCUUGGGGGUUUGGGAUUCAGAGAUAUGGAAAUUUUCAAUCUAGCACUACUCGCCACGCAAGCUUGGAGAAUCUUGAGCGAGCCAUCCUCUCUUAGUGCGAGGAUUUUGAAGCCAAUAUACUUCCCAGAGACUUCUUUGCUUGAUGCAGAAUCAGGAAGCAAGCCAUCGCAAAUAUGGCGGGCAAUACUUGAUGGACGAGAUAUGUUGAGACAUGGAAUCAUAAGAAGAAUUGGCAAUGGUCAGUCUACAGAAAUUUGGAGACACAACUGGCUUCCCGCCCGGGCAUGA
This 552-nucleotide ribosomal RNA is filed under the name Triticum aestivum (bread wheat). RNAcentral's name for it is "partial small subunit ribosomal RNA". The record is from RNAcentral. Lineage: Eukaryota; Viridiplantae; Streptophyta; Magnoliopsida; Poales; Poaceae.